Molecule: ribosomal RNA, 1337 nt
Filed under: Macroglossum bombylans
Lineage: Eukaryota; Metazoa; Arthropoda; Insecta; Lepidoptera; Sphingidae
Description: 16S ribosomal RNA
Source: RNAcentral
GGGGUAAAAUUAAUAAAUAAAACAAUAAUAAAAAAAUUUUUAAUAUAAAAAUAUUUAAUGGGGGUUAAAGUAUUUUAAUAGAAAAAAAUUUAUAAUUUUAUAGUUAAUUAGUAUUGUGAAAGAAAUUUGAAAUAAAAAUGAAAAAAAAUUAGAUGGAAAGUAAAUUUAAUUUAUUGUAUCUUGUGUAUCAGAGUUUAUUAAUAAAAAUUUAUUAAAUGUAAAAUUCUCGAAUUUAAAAGAGUUAAUUAAUUAAAAAAUUUAUUGUUUCAUAAAUAUUUUAAAUAAUUAAUUAGAAAUGAAAUGUUAUUCGUUUUUAAAUAUAUCUAGUUAUUUUAGAAAAAAAUUUAAUUUUUAAUUAAAUUUAAAAAUUAAUAAAUUAAUUUAUUAAUUUUUAAAUUUAAUUUAAUAUUUUAAGGGAUAAGCUUUAAUUUAAAUUUUUAUAAUUAAAUAUUAAUUAUUUGAAAAUUUUAUAAUUUAUAUUGUUAAUAAAUUUUAAUUUAUUAUAAAUAAUUUCAUAAAAUUGAAAAUUUAAUAAAAUUUAAUUUUUUAUAAAAUAAAAUUUUUUAAUUAAAAAAAAUUGGUUAUAAUGAUAAAAUUAGUAUAUAAAAUAAGUUAAUAAUUAAUAAUUUAUAAAAAUUAUAUAUAAAGGAAUUCGACAAAUAUAUAUAUUCACCUGUUUAUCAAAAACAUGUCUUUUUGAAAAUAAUUUAAAGUCUAAUCUGCCCACUGAUUUAAAUAUUGAAGGGCUGCAGUAUAUUGACUGUACAAAGGUAGCAUAAUCAUUAGUCUCUUAAUUGGUGACUUGUAUGAAAGAUUGGAUGAAAUAUAAAUUGUCUCUAUAAUAUUUAUUGAAUUUAAUUUUUUAAUUAAAAAGUUAAAAUAAAUUAAAAAGACGAGAAGACCCUAUAGAGUUUUAUAUUUAUUUUUUUUUUUAAUUUUAAUAAAUUGAAUAUUUAAUAAAUAAAUAAGUAUUUUGUUGGGGUGAUAAAAAAAUAAAAUUAACUUUUUUUAUAUGAUAAACAUAAAUAAGUGAUUAAUUGAUCCAUUAAUAUUGAUUAUAAGAAAAAAUUACCUUAGGGAUAACAGCGUAAUUUUUUUUUUUAGUUCAAAUAAGAAAAAAAGUUUGCGACCUCGAUGUUGGAUUAAGAUAAAAUUUAAAUGCAAAAGUUUAAAAUUUUGAUCUGUUCGAUCAUUAAAAUCUUACAUGAUCUGAGUUCAAACCGGUGUAAGCCAGGUUGGUUUCUAUCUUUUAAAUAUUUUAAUAUUUUAGUACGAAAGGAUCAAGUAUUAUAAUUAAAUUAAAUUAAUUUGAAUAUUAUUAAUAAAAAAUAAAUUUA